Molecule: long non-coding RNA, 1014 nt
Filed under: Carassius auratus (goldfish)
Lineage: Eukaryota; Metazoa; Chordata; Actinopteri; Cypriniformes; Cyprinidae
Description: lncRNA (ENSCARG00000020713.1)
Source: RNAcentral
CCUGGAGAUCGGCUGAAUGGAUUCGAAAACGGUUAAACUGUUUAUCUCUGGGGGAGUUGUAAAAUGACCCUAUUUCCAAAAAAAAGUGGAGUAUCCAUUUAAGCUGUAGAGAAGAAACCAACUACAGUAGUUAAUUAACUCUCAUGAAUUAGACGAAAUGACUGACAACAUGGGCACUAUUUUCUCUAAUACAUUAGAAGCUGUUGCCCCCAUCAAAUUGAAAAAGGUUAGAGAAAAACGUAUUGUGCCAUGGUAUAACAGUAAUACUCACUCUCUCAAGAAAGUAACUCGUAGUCUUGAACGCAAAUGGAGAAAAACUAACUUGGAAGUUUUUAGAAUUGCAUGGAAAAACAGUAUGUCCAACUAUAGACAGGCUCUAAAAACUGCGAGGGCAGAGCAUAUACACAAACUCAUUGAAAAUAACAAAAACAAUCCAAGGUUUUUAUUUGGCACAGUGGCUAAAUUGACAAAUUACCAGACGCCACCUGAUUCAAAUAUUCCACCAACGUUAAAUAGUAAUGACUUUAUGAAUUUCUUCACUGAUAAAAUAGAUAACAUUAGAAAUACAAUAGCGAAUGUAGAUUAUACAGCGUCUAACACUUCAGUUUCGUCCAUCGCACCCAAAGAUAAACUGCAGUGCUUUACAACCAUAGGACAGGAAGAACUAAAUAAACUUAUCACUGUAUCUAAACCAACAACAUGUUUAUUAGAUCCUGUACCCACUAAAUUACUGAAAGAGUUGUUACCUGUAGCGGAAGAACCGCUUCUCAAUAUCAUUAACUCGUACUUUUUCUUUAGGCCACGUCCCAAAACCAUUCAAGCUGGCGAUUAUCCAGCCUCUUAUUAAGAAACCAAAACUAGAUCCUAGUGUACUGGCAUAUUAUAGGCCUAUUUCAAAUCUUCCAUUUAUGUCUAAAAUUUUUGAAAAAAUUGUGUCUGCUCAAUUGAGCACCUUCCUGCACAAAAAUGAUCUGUAUGAAGAAUUUCAGUCAGGUUUCAGGCCCCACCAUAGCA